AGCAGCGUGGCUCAGUGGAAAGAGCCCGGGCUUGGGAGUCAGAGGUCACGGGUUCGACUCCCGGCUCUGCCG
This 72-nucleotide transfer RNA is filed under the name Ornithorhynchus anatinus (platypus). It matches the Rfam family "tRNA". From Rfam's summary of the family: Transfer RNA (tRNA) molecules are approximately 80 nucleotides in length. Their secondary structure includes four short double-helical elements and three loops (D, anti-codon, and T loops). Lineage: Eukaryota; Metazoa; Chordata; Mammalia; Monotremata; Ornithorhynchidae. The record is from Rfam by way of RNAcentral.